ACUCAAGAAAAGAAGAAUGUGAGUGAUAAGUUCUAGGGUUUAUAACUCGCCACUAACACACAGGGGUUAGAUAAGAGAAAUCAGCAACACUCAUUUUCAUUAUUGAAAUCUGAAUUGAAUACAUAGGUCGUCUCUCUUUAUAUAGAUAAGAGAGGGAACAUAAGACAUUCAGUAGAUGGAAGAAAAUAACAGAAUUUGACUAUCAUAGAAAUGAUGGUGGCUAUAUCUUGCUACAAAGAAAAUAAUAGUGGCCGUAUCUUGCUACUAUGGAAAUGAUGGUGGUCGGAGAUCAUGGUGAAUUAGGAAGAACAAAAUAACUUUGGCUGCAUCUAGCUACUAUGGAAAUGAUGGUGGCUGGAGAUCAUGGUAAAUUAGAAAGAACAAAACAACCUUGAUUGCGUCUUGCUAUUAUGGAAAUGAUGGUGGCUGGAGAUCAUGGUGAAUUAGGAAGAACAAAAUAAGCUUCUAAACUCGGCUCUUUUUUCAAGCAAUAAUUUCUUUCAAAUUCCUGUCAAAUCUGAUUCGCAGCACAUCAUGCUUCUAUGCACGUGAGCAAAAUCAUCAAUUUGGCUCUUGGAUCCAUAUAUGGCAUGUGAUCAUCUCUUUCUUCAUGAUGGUGC
Molecule: long non-coding RNA, 620 nt
Filed under: Elaeis guineensis (African oil palm)
Lineage: Eukaryota; Viridiplantae; Streptophyta; Magnoliopsida; Arecales; Arecaceae
Description: long non-coding RNA (EGUI_LNC029128)
Source: RNAcentral